This 492-nucleotide ribosomal RNA is filed under the name uncultured bacterium. RNAcentral describes it as "partial 16S ribosomal RNA". It matches the Rfam family "Bacterial small subunit ribosomal RNA", at positions 29 to 507 of the family's 1533-position model. The record is from RNAcentral.
AGUGAACGCUGGCGGUAGGCCUAACACAUGCAAGUCGAACGGCAGCACAGUAAGAGCUUGCUCUUACGGGUGGCGAGUGGCGGACGGGUGAGGAAUACAUCGGAAUCUACUUUUUCGUGGGGGAUAACGUAGGGAAACUUACGCUAAUACCGCAUACGACCUACGGGUGAAAGCAGGGGAUCUUCGGACCUUGCGCGAUUGAAUGAGCCGAUGUCGGAUUAGCUAGUUGGCGGGGUAAAGGCCCACCAAGGCGACGAUCCGUAGCUGGUCUGAGAGGAUGAUCGGCCACACUGGAACUGAGACACGGUCCAGACUCCUACGGGAGGCAGCAGUGGGGAAUAUUGGACGAUGGGCGCAAGCCUGAUCCAGCCAUACCGCGUGGGUGAAGAAGGCCUUCGGGUUGUAAAGCCCUUUUGUUGGGAAAGAAAAGCAGCAGGUUAAUACCCCGCUGUUCUGACGGUACCCAAAGAAUAAGCACCGGCUAACUUCGUG